Molecule: long non-coding RNA, 3274 nt
Organism: Cyclopterus lumpus (lumpfish)
Lineage: Eukaryota; Metazoa; Chordata; Actinopteri; Perciformes; Cyclopteridae
Exons: 4
Source: RefSeq, a predicted model, not a curated record
GUGAAUGGUGUUGAUGCGUAGGAGACAGUUACGUGUUUUGGCUUACAACAUGGCUGUCGAUGGCUUGAGUUGUCAUGACGAUUUUUUUGUAGGACUUCACCAUGGUGACCAUGACUGGACACACACACUGAAGCACAAUUUUAAUCCAGUGCAAUGGAAUAUUUCUUCAAUAAGUGAAUGACACACUUUUGUCUAUUUUUUGUAUGUUUCACACAAAUGCCUGACCCAGAAAACAAGCUUUUUGUCAAAAUAGCUCCUGCUGCACACCAUCUGCGACUGAUGAUAUUAAAACUGCCUUUAAUAUAAACCUUCGGAUAGGAAUUGGAGGUUUUUACUGGUCCAAUUGGUUCCUAGUAAUGGAGAUUAAAGCAUUGUAUUACCAAAGGUUACAAGCAUUGUAUUAUCACAGGUCUUGGGCCUGUGUGUCAAUAUAUCUAGUGGAUCCAAAUGGACUCACUAUCACUUUACUAUUUUUUCACCAAUAUCCACCAAUAUUUGGAUUGGAUCUAAUUAUCCUCAGAAGCCAGACUUUCUUUGGCUCCCUUCCAGAUUGUGUCUCUUUAUUUUUAAACAAAUGUGUGCGUGUUGGGUUAAUUUUAUUUUUCCUUUGGUCCAUGUUAGGUCAGCUCCAAAAAUGUCUACUCUGAUGUCCUAUGAACCUGAUACCAAGCAUAAUUAAACUUUACGGUUAAACUCUAAAGUGCAAUCACACACAUGCCUGGAUUAGUUCUGGGUGUAUCUGAAGACGUGUAACUUGCCCCCAUGUCGCACAUUGUUACACUGCGGCCACAAGAAAGACGUAAAUGUCCUACUGUUUGACCACAACUCUCUGUGGCACAGCGAGCGACCGUUGCCCACAUGGUAUCUCCCACAUACACAGGACGCACUUAGACGUCAGCCAAUCACACACAACAAAGCUCUGACAUCAUGGCUGACAUGAUGUCAGAGCUAAGCAGGAACAACUGUCUCGUAGUUACAAGCCACAUCAGAGGAGAGUGACGCAACAGUGUGUGUUGGCAUGCAUGUGCUGUAUGAGAGUCUAGGUCAGCACUGCGUCUGUAUAGGAUCGACAGCACUGGUGUGGUCAGCAUGGGAGAGAUGAGUCACAAGGUCAAACUAAACCAGUGAAGGGAGAGCAAAGAAGCCAGAAGUCAGAUAGCAAAUGGAAAGCAGACUUAACGGACAGAUAGAGGUAGUUUAUGUUUUAGUGAUUUGGUAACAAAUCCUCCUGGAAAUAACAUGUUGGACUGAGUAGCCAAAAGCACAGAUCUCAUGAACUGUGCAAUGAGGUCAAGCCCACACAAAUGGACAAUGUGUUUCCAUGCUUUGCUGUGCUACGUGUUCAUGUUGCAUUCAGAUAGUCGUGUGUGAAUAGUCCGCUCCGCUGGGGAAAAGAGGGAAUCCUGCCCAGACAUUCCAUGGCAAAGAUUCCCAAAGAGUUUCCACUACAACCCAGCUCCCCCUCCCCUGCUCGGUGUGGAAAGCGAACCUGAGCAGCAUUGUGUAGCUGUGUUUCCACAGUGGAAGCCUGUUCCUGGAUAGAAGCUGCAGUGGAAGUUCCCUCUCAUGAAGCGAAGGAACACAAGGAGGGAAAGAGGAGAGGGGAAGAGGAAAGACAGAGCAGAAGGAAGGACUGAGUGAAGCACAUGGGAACGUUUGUGACUCGAGACACAUUCUCAAUGACGACCAAGAAGAACUAAAAUAAAGUGACAACCCACCAAGAAACACAAGAGAGCGUGAAUCAGAGAAACAUGCUUAAAAAGGCUUUUAGACGCUGUUCCAGACUGGGUGACACACUAUCACACCUGGAGGCGGCCCAGUACAACCGCAAUCUGAUCCGAUGGCCGAGCCACUGGAGCCGCUAAACUGGAGCAGUUGAAGGAGCAAUGCCUUGCUCAAGGGCACCUCAGUGGAGAUAAUUGGAGAAAAGCCAGUUUUGUUAUUUCAUUUUCCCCCCCAUCAAAAAUGUUAACUAUACUGCAACCAACAGCCCAAAGACAAACAUUAUUUAACUUACUAUCAUUUAUGAUUUAAAAAAAAACAAGCAAAUCUUCAUGUUAGAGAAGCUGGAACCAGCAAUGAUUUAAUUUGCUUGAUAAAUGACUGAAACCGUAGCUCAAUUAUUAGACUAGGUGACAAAUAUAUUCCUUUUGAUCAACUAAUUAAAUUGUUGCAGCUCUAUGUAAAAUGCACAAACAACUUAAACUGUACAUGACAUGUAUCCACUUUUCUGUUGUGAAAAUAAGCAGCAAAAGUAGUUUGUAUCAUUAUUAAAUAUUCACCUGUAAUGACAUUACAUAUGAAACAUAAAUGCUGCCAUUUUAAAGUAUUGUAGCAGAGUAAGACGAGGACACAUCACGCCAGCAAGAAUAUUAUCACAAAAAUAGUAGUAACUGUUUCAGUAGGAGUAGUAGUAACAGUAAUGGUGGUAUUAUAAUUAAGAAGUAGUACUAUUUUAAGCAAUAUUCUCUUGUGUUGCUUUUUUUUCAUAAAAAUAAAUAAAAAUAAAACAGCGUGAUAAUAUAUGAUGUAUACAGGAUAUGAUGUGUGUUUCUGUUGAUGAGCAAAUAGAAAAGGAGGGAAAUUAGUCAGGGUGUCUGUAUUUUCAGCAGGUAUGACCUGAAACCACUGUCCACUACAAGUUCACAGCAUUAACAAGCACAUCAGAUACUUCAAGGAAGUAUAAAAAGUGUCAGCAGGGGUGAAUAGCCCAAAAAAGGAAACUUUCCACCUCUGCCCACGACUGUGACUCAUGCAGAAAUGCAACCACUUGUUUAUCUGUAAGUGUGUGUGUGUGUGUGUGUGUGUGUGUGUGUGUGUGUGUGUGUGUGUGUGUGCGCCUGUCUACCCGUGCACAUGCCCAUGUGGUCAGUGUGUGACCCAGAAUGACAAGACUCUGAGCCACAGCAAAGCGUCAAACACCGAGCACAUAUUUAGACCCUGUACGCAGAUUAAAAAUCACAGAAUACACACACACAAACACACACACACACAUGCUGCUCAAGUGUUGAAUAUCUGAAGGGCGACGAAGACACUGACUCAGCCACCAAAAUGUCAUCACUCCUUGAUACAAAGUCCUGAACUGCAAUUAUAAACUGUCAGGCAGGUACCUGGGUUGAACUUGUGGGAAUGGGAUAAGCAGAGGUGAAACAAAUGGAGGUGUGCAGGGUUUUCAGCAGGUGGCAAGUGUCUUAUCAAAGCAGAUCCCAGAUGGGAUUAACUAAAGGGCAACUGUUUCUCACACACACUCAAAUACUCAAAUACAUAUACAAAC